Molecule: microRNA precursor, 68 nt
Filed under: Caenorhabditis elegans
Lineage: Eukaryota; Metazoa; Nematoda; Chromadorea; Rhabditida; Rhabditidae
Source: RNAcentral
UAUGACACUGAAGCGUUACCGAACCGUUUUCCCACACCUGGAUUCGGUGCAACGAUCAGUGGCAUGCU